UGCAUUCACUACUGUAAAUCGCUCUGGAUAAGAGCGUCUGUUAAAUGACUAAAA
Molecule: non-coding RNA, 54 nt
Organism: Salmo salar (Atlantic salmon)
Lineage: Eukaryota; Metazoa; Chordata; Actinopteri; Salmoniformes; Salmonidae
Source: Rfam